This 28-nucleotide small RNA is filed under the name Bombyx mori (domestic silkworm). RNAcentral describes it as "ovarian small RNA-31533". The record is from RNAcentral. Lineage: Eukaryota; Metazoa; Arthropoda; Insecta; Lepidoptera; Bombycidae.
UGACCAUAGAGUAGCUCGAAUGGUGUAA